UAGAAACCUGUAGUUCGCAAUAGGGUUGGUUGUACUCCUAGGGUUUCCAUUACAUUUUGCUUGGAUAAGUAGGUGAUAUCCUUCCGCGCAAGCAGGAAUGGCAAAUACGGUGACAGUUUCAUAUAUUCUUCCAGAAGAUAUUGUGUAGUUGUAACGUUAUUGUGUCGAUCCGAUCGGCGCCUGGAAACACAAGAAAAGACCAAGAAGUACAGUAGAUCAGGUGUUGUCUUGCAGGUGGGGAAGACAAAAUAACACCACCCCACACAAAGGACCAUAGUUGUGGACUGAAAUACCAUGUUUUUGAGUGAAGUGGCCUACAGACUGCCAGACAGCCUUUCUUUAUUCAUAGCUCACACUACAGGAGGUGGGAGGAGGCACCGCAGGCGAUCAGAGGUUCAGCACCAAUUGGAGAAGAAGGACACCCCUCAUAGAUAGCACAGCAUGCCUGCAAGAGAAUCCUUGUCAAAUAAUUAUACCCUACCUUGUUUGCACCAAUUGUAUGCAGCCACUUAGAAACAUCCAGGAUUCUAUACAUCUUACUUGCAGAUCCAAACUGCACUUUUUCAAUCUGAAGAGGCGAUUUUAAUUCAUAAUGCUUUUUUGUUCAACUUUAUAAUUUACUGCAUUAGAUAGGUGCUGUACUCUGCAAUUUGUUAGAGCAUUGAACUACUGAAUAUAACUUUUUUUUCUUGUUAUCAUUUAAAUUUGUUUUCACAUAAACAUUAUUUUAAUAUGUUUACCUUUAGGA
Long non-coding RNA from Lepisosteus oculatus (spotted gar), 748 nucleotides. RefSeq lists it as uncharacterized. Lineage: Eukaryota; Metazoa; Chordata; Actinopteri; Semionotiformes; Lepisosteidae. The record is from RefSeq and is a predicted model, not a curated record.